Molecule: long non-coding RNA, 280 nt
Filed under: Olea europaea (common olive)
Lineage: Eukaryota; Viridiplantae; Streptophyta; Magnoliopsida; Lamiales; Oleaceae
Description: long non-coding RNA (OEUR_LNC007043)
Source: RNAcentral
UCAUCCAUGAUUCUGCUUCUACUGGAUCAGCUGUGCCUAUAAAUACUUUAGCUCCUAAUUUAGUAGCCCGCUCUAUACUACAAUCUUUAUCUGUAUUGCGUAGAGCAGAAGCAACAGCAGUGGCAAUCCUAUCAGCUAUUAAGUCAGGCUGGGCUACAUCCCCAUAUCUCUGCUGAUCAUGGGUCGAAUGAACUGAUUCCUCGACCCUACUGGCAUCCCUAUCAGGAGCAGCUGGUGGUUGAGAUGACAUAUCUUGGAGCUUGCGUGUCUUAUUACCACG